GGGGAAUAUUGCGCAAUGGGGGGAACCCUGACGCAGCAACGCCGCGUGAAGGAAGAAGGUCUUCGGAUUGUAAACUUCUUUGAUGAGGGACGAAGUAAGUGACGGUACCUCAAAAACAAGCCACGGCUAACUACGUGCCAGCAGCCGCGGUAAUACGUAGGUGGCGAGCGUUGUCCGGAAUUACUGGGUGUAAAGGGCGUGUAGGCGGGGAUGCAAGUCAGAUGUGAAAUACCGAGGCUUAACCUCGGGGCUGCAUCUGAAACUGUGUUUCUUGAGUGUCGGAGAGGAAAGCGGAAUUCCUGGUGUAGCGGUGAAAUGCGUAGAGAUCAGGAGGAACACCGGUGGCGAAGGCGGCUUUCUGGACGACAACUGACGCUGAGGCGCGAAAGCGUGGGGAGCAAAC
RNAcentral lists this ribosomal RNA (403 nucleotides) under uncultured bacterium. RNAcentral's name for it is "bacterial SSU rRNA". It matches the Rfam family "Bacterial small subunit ribosomal RNA", at positions 356 to 773 of the family's 1533-position model. The record is from RNAcentral.